RNAcentral lists this ribosomal RNA (253 nucleotides) under uncultured bacterium. Its description in RNAcentral is "partial 16S ribosomal RNA". It matches the Rfam family "Bacterial small subunit ribosomal RNA", at positions 524 to 776 of the family's 1533-position model. The record is from RNAcentral.
UACGGGGGGGGUAAGCGUUGUUCGGAAUUACUGGGCGUAAAGGGCUCGUAGGCGGCCAACUAAGUCAUACGUGAAAUCCCUCAGCUUAACUGGGGAACUGCGUCUGAUACUGGACGGCUCGAGUAUGGGAGAGGGAUGUAGAAUUCCAGGUGUAGCGGUGAAAUGCGUAGAUAUCUGGAGGAAUACCGGUGGCGAAGGCGGCAUCCUGGACCAUUACUGACGCUGAGGCGCGAAAGCUAGGGGAGCAAACGGG